CUAUUAUUUGCAGAUUAGAAUUACUAUUAACUGCCAUCAUUACCACCUUAUUUGGCCAUAGAGGAGAUAAGGACCAUAGAUAACUCUCAUUGCCAUAGUUCAUAACAGUUUGUGUCACGCUUCAAGUAUAUGAAUUGGAACAGCUACUGAGAUGCUAGAACUCAUCAGUGUGGGUCACUUCCUUUCUAGCUGAUGAUUGCUUGAUUCAGAUUCAUGAGGGAAGGGAGGACAGAGGAACCAGUUCCAUGGCACAAAUUCUAAUGGAAGCUGACCACAGUUUUAAUGAUGGCGCCAAGUGGCCACUCUUCAUUACAGAUAAACAUACUUCCAUUGGUGGAGCUAGGAGGACAGAUAAGUGAGAAUUGUUAUAUCCUCCUGCCUGGACCUAGAAAGAGAGGAGAGGUGUCUUUCACUCAGAAGAAGCAAAAUGCACUACAAAAUGAAGGAAACACAAAAGAGAGAGAGAAAGCAAUCAGUGGCAGACUAGAAGCAAUAAGUCUUGCAAAAAGGUGAGAAUUUCAUCCGCAGUGGAAAGAAGUCUGGAGCCCCUACAGCUGCAGGCGGCCAGAGACGGCCCGGGGAGAAAUCAACCAGCCCAGCUCGCCACGUAGGGAAACCAAAGGCUCGCAACACCAGCACAGGCUGAGACUUUGCCUCCCGUCCAUCUAGAAGAUUAUGCUAAUUCCUACCCAGUGCGAUGCUCUCACAUGGAGAUUAAAUAAUACCAACGUUUGUAAGCAUAAAUAUCUAAAACCAUUAUGUAUAUUCAUGUACAAUUAACUCAGUGUCAAUAUCGUUGCUGUCGUUAAAUUAAUCACUCUGCGCCCCAAGCAAAAUAGUUUCCUCUGGACCUAAAGAGAAGCACAAGAACCCAUGUGACUCCUACUCCAGUCAUGAUCUCCCUGUGUAGGCAGGGCCAGGCCCUGAAGUUACCAGUUUCAGGAACCCGUCAGGUCGUGAACAAUGAUCAAUAGUCAUCAAAGAGAGUCAUAUUUAUGAAAACUCAUUAUAUGCUGGCACCGUUUUGAAUGUUUUAAUUCGUUAUUUUAUGCAACACUACUCACAAUAACCUUGCUUUCAUCCUUAUUUACAUUGAAGGAAACAGGCACAGGGAGGUUCAGCAACUAGCUCAAUUACCAGCACAGUUGAAAGAAGUGGAGUCUGGAUUCCACCUGAGCCCAGAGUUUUAGAUGCUUUGAUGUGUGUCUCCAGGUAACCAGUCCCUACAGGGUUGUGCUCAGAGCUGCAUGCUCUAUCAAGGAGAUGUAACAGGUGCCCGACAAAACUGAAGGCCAGAGCACCCUGAGAAGUGAGUUUGGAAUACAUCAUGCUAACAUGACCUAUCUUGUUAGCCUAAAUACCACUGAUUGUCU
This 1373-nucleotide long non-coding RNA is filed under the name Vulpes vulpes (red fox). RNAcentral's name for it is "lncRNA (ENSVVUG00000026740.1)". Lineage: Eukaryota; Metazoa; Chordata; Mammalia; Carnivora; Canidae. The record is from RNAcentral.